RNAcentral lists this transfer RNA (68 nucleotides) under Conus cuneolus. RNAcentral describes it as "tRNA-Met". The record is from RNAcentral. Lineage: Eukaryota; Metazoa; Mollusca; Gastropoda; Neogastropoda; Conidae.
UGUAAAAUAAGCUAAAUAUUAAGCUUUUGGGUUCAUACCUCAAAUAUGAAUAAACUAUUCUUUUACAG